AUUGAACGCUGGCGGCAGGCCUAACACAUGCAAGUCGAACGGUAGCACAGAGAGCUUGCUCUCGGGUGACGAGUGGCGGACGGGUGAGUAAUGUCUGGGAAACUGCCCGAUGGAGGGGGAUAACUACUGGAAACGGUAGCUAAUACCGCAUAAUGUCGCAAGACCAAAGAGGGGGACCUUCGGGCCUCUUGCCAUCGGAUGUGCCCAGAUGGGAUUAGCUAGUUGGCGAGGUAAUGGCUCACCAAGGCGACGAUCCCUAGCUGGUCUGAGAGGAUGACCAGCCACACUGGAACUGAGACACGGUCCAGACUCCUACGGGAGGCAGCAGUGGGGAAUAUUGCACAAUGGGCGCAAGCCUGAUGCAGCCAUGCCGCGUGUAUGAAGAAGGCCUUCGGGUUGUAAAGUACUUUCAGCGGGGAGGAAGGCAAUGCGGUUAAUAACCGUGUUGAUUGACGUUACCCGCAGAAGAAGCACCGGCUAACUCCGUG
This 488-nucleotide ribosomal RNA is filed under the name uncultured bacterium. RNAcentral's name for it is "partial 16S ribosomal RNA". It matches the Rfam family "Bacterial small subunit ribosomal RNA", at positions 30 to 507 of the family's 1533-position model. The record is from RNAcentral.